AUCUAGCGGACGAGUUCCAAAUAGGACGAAACGCGCUUCUUGGAU
Schistosoma rodhaini is the source of this 45-nucleotide non-coding RNA. Lineage: Eukaryota; Metazoa; Platyhelminthes; Trematoda; Strigeidida; Schistosomatidae. The record is from Rfam.